RNAcentral lists this ribosomal RNA (233 nucleotides) under uncultured bacterium. RNAcentral describes it as "partial 16S ribosomal RNA". It matches the Rfam family "Bacterial small subunit ribosomal RNA", at positions 100 to 334 of the family's 1533-position model. The record is from RNAcentral.
CGGGACGGGUGAGUAAUGCUUGGGAAUCUAGCUUAUGGAGGGGGAUAACUACGGGAAACUGUAGCUAAUACCGCGUAAUAUCGAAAGAUUAAGGUGUGGGACCUUCGGGCCACAUGCCAUAGGAUGAGCCCAAGUGGGAUUAGGUAGUUGGUGAGGUAAAGGCUCACCAAGCCGACGAUCUCUAGCUGGUCUGAGAGGAUGACUAGUCACACUGGGACUGAGACACGGCCCAG